CCUACGGGAGGCUGCAGUGAGGAAUAUUGGUCAAUGGACUAGAGUCUGAACCAGCCAAGUAGCGUGAAGGAUGACUGCCCUAUGGGUUGUAAACUUCUUUUAUAUGGGAAUAAAACGUUCCACGUGUGGGAUUUUGUAUGUACCCUAUGAAUAAGGAUCGGCUAACUCCGUGCCAGCAGCCGCGGUAAUACGGAGGAUCCGAGCGUUAUCCGGAUUUAUUGGGUUUAAAGGGAGCGUAGGUGGAUUGUUAAGUCAGUUGUGAAAGUUUGCGGCUCAACCGUAAAAUUGCAGUUGAAACUGGCAGUCUUGAGUACAGUAGAGGUGGGCGGAAUUCGUGGUGUAGCGGUGAAAUGCUUAGAUAUCACGAAGAACUCCGAUUGCGAAGGCAGUUCACUGGACUGCAACUGACACUGAGGCUCGAAAGUGUGGGUAUCAAACAGGAUUAGAUACCCUGGUAGUC
RNAcentral lists this ribosomal RNA (460 nucleotides) under uncultured bacterium. RNAcentral describes it as "partial 16S ribosomal RNA". It matches the Rfam family "Bacterial small subunit ribosomal RNA", at positions 338 to 795 of the family's 1533-position model. The record is from RNAcentral.